RNAcentral lists this ribosomal RNA (439 nucleotides) under uncultured bacterium. RNAcentral describes it as "partial 16S ribosomal RNA". It matches the Rfam family "Bacterial small subunit ribosomal RNA", at positions 339 to 795 of the family's 1533-position model. The record is from RNAcentral.
CUACGGGGUGCUCCAGUGGGGAAUAUUGCACAAUGGACGAAAGUCUGAUGCAGCAACGCCGCGUGGAGGAUGACACAUUUCGGUGCAUAAACUCCUUUUAUAUAGGAAGAUAAUGACGGUACUAUAUGAAUAAGCACCGGCUAACUCCGUGCCAGCAGCCGCGGUAAUACGGAGGGUGCAAGCGUUACUCGGAAUUACUGGGCGUAAAGAGCGUGUAGGCGGGUUUGUAAGUUGGAUGUGAAAUCCUAUGGCUCAACCAUAGAACUGCAUCCAAAACUGCUUACCUAGAAUAUGGGAGAGGUAGAUGGAAUUUCUCGUGUAGGGGUAAAAUCCGUAGAGAUCAGAAGGAAUACCGAUUGCGAAGGCGAUCUACUGGAACAUUAUUGACGCUGAGACGCGAAAGCGUGGGGAGCAAACAGGAUUAGAUACCCCAGUAGUC